CUUUAGUCUGGUCCUAAGGCGAACCCGAAAGGGACAGUCGAUGGCUAACGGGUUAAUAUUCCCGUACUACUAAUUACUGUGAUGGGGUGACGGAGUGAUGAAAGCGCCGCGAACUGACGGAAUAGUUCGUUGAAGUACCUACCUAUAGGAUCUGCAGGCAAAUCCACAGAUCUUGGGGAAAUACGAUAGUACUCGGAGUCUUCGGACAAAGAGAUAGUGCGCCUAAGGGCUUCCAAGAAAAACCUCUAAACUUCAGGUAAUUAGUACCAGUACCGUAAACCGACACAGGUAGUUGAGGAGAGAAUCCUAAGGUGCUCGAGAGAUUCAUGGCUAAGGAAUUAGGCAAAAUAGACCUGUAACUUCGGGAGAAAGGUCGCCAGCGCAAGCUGGCCGCAGUGAAGAGGUCCAGGCGACUGUUUAUCAAAAACACAGGGCUCUGCAAAAUCGUAAGAUGAAGUAUAGGGCCUGACACCUGCCCGGUGCUGGAAGGUUAAGAGGAGAUGUUAUCUUCGGAGAAGCAUUGAAUUGAAGCCCCAGUAAACGGCGGCCGUAACGAUAACGGUCCUAAGGUAGCGAAAUUCCUUGUCGGGUAAGUUCCGACCUGCACGAAUGGUGUAACGAUCUGGACACUGUCUCAGCCAUGAGCUCGGUGAAAUUGUAGUAACGGUGAAGAUGCCGUUUACCCGCAGUGGGACGAAAAGACCCUGUGCACCUUUACUAUAGCUUAGUAUUGACCUUGGAUAAAUGAUGUGUAGGAUAGGUUGGAGACUGUGAAGUGGCGUCGCCAGGCGUUGUGGAGUCAUUGUUGAAAUACAACCCUUUGUUUAUCUGAGGCCUAACCCCGUUUUGCGGGGGACAUUGCUUGGUGGGUAGUUUGACUGGGGUGGUCGCCUCCAAAAGAGUAACGGAGGCUUCUAAAGGUUCCCUCAGUACGCUUGGUAACCGUGCGUAGAGUGCAAUGGCAUAAGGGAGCUUGACUGAGAGACAUACAGGUCGAUCAGGUACGAAAGUAGAGCAUAGUGAUCCGGUGGUUCCGCAUGGAAGGGCCAUCGCUCAAAGGAUAAAAGGUACGCCGGGGAUAACAGGCUGAUCUCCCCCAAGAGCUCAUAUCGACGGGGGGGUUUGGCACCUCGAUGUCGGCUCGUCACAUCCUGGGGCUGGAGAAGGGGUUGGGCUGUUCGCCCAUUAAAGUGGCACGCGAGCUGGGUUCAGAACGUCGUGAGACAGUUCGGUCUCUAUCUACUGUGGGCGUUAGAAAUUUGAGUGGAUCUGAUUCUAGUACGAGAGGACCGAAUUGGACAAACCUCUAGUGUAUCUGUUGUCCCGCCAGGGGCACCGCAGAGUAGCUACGUUUGGAAGGGAUAAGCGCUGAAAGCAUAUAAGCGCGAAACCCACCACAAGAUGAGAUUUCUUUUAAGGAUCGUGGAAGAUGACCACGUUGAUAGGCUAUAGAUGUAAAGGCAGUAAUGUCAUAGUCGAGUAGUACUAAUAAUCCGAAAAAAGAAG
This 1506-nucleotide ribosomal RNA is filed under the name metagenome. RNAcentral's name for it is "bacterial LSU rRNA". It matches the Rfam family "Bacterial large subunit ribosomal RNA", at positions 1378 to 2925 of the family's 2925-position model. The record is from RNAcentral.